Vicugna pacos (alpaca) is the source of this 3431-nucleotide non-coding RNA. Lineage: Eukaryota; Metazoa; Chordata; Mammalia; Artiodactyla; Camelidae. The record is from RefSeq and is a predicted model, not a curated record.
AGGGGCGGAGCUGCGGGGAGGAGGCGGGGCUGGGAGGAGCUGGGGGAGGAGUAUCAGGGGCCGACCUGUGGUAAAGAGCUGGGGAGAAGGAGUUGCGGGAGGGGGAGGCGGAGCCUCGAGAAAGCGACGAGGGAGAAGCCGGGGCGGAGCUGUGAGGAAGCUUGGCGAGGAGGAGCUGUGGGAGGAGAUGGGGAGAAGCAGGGCGGAGCUGCGAGGAAGGAGGCGGAGCUGCGGGGAAGGAACUUGGGUUGGAGGAGUUAAGGGAGGCGCCUGUGGGGCAGGUGUUUGAGGAGAGCUGGGUGAAGAGGCGGCAGAGCCGGGGAGGAGCAGGGCGGGGCCUCCAGGAGGAGGAGCAGCUGAGGGAGGGGAAGGGUGGAGCUGCGGAGGAGUGGGGCGGGGCUGAGGAAACGCUGGGACGCAGUGGGCUGGAGCUGGGAGGAGCUGGGGGAGCAGUUUCUGGGACUGAGACAUGGGAAAGAACUGUGUGAGGAGGCGCUCCUGGAAGAGGCGGCAGAGCCGGGGAGGAGCAGGGCGGAGCUUUCAGGGGGAGGAGCAGCUGAGGGCGGAGCCGAGUGGAGCUGGGGAGGAGUGGAGCGGAGCUGACAGGGAUGGAGCUGUGGGUCUUGGGAACCCAUGGAGGGUGGGCGAGGACAGGCAGUGCCCUUUUGAGUCUCUUGACAUAGGCGUCCAGUCCAGGCCGCAGCAGUCGGCCAGAGUCGCAGUGGCAGCCCCCAGCGUUGUCAGCGACCUCAUCGGACCGUCGGAAUGGCCCUCAGACGGCAGGGAGGCGGAGAGAGGGCGGGGCCUCUGGGCUGAGUCCUGCAUCUCAGGGCUGAAUGCUCAGGCCAGUUCCCCUCCUCCAGGCCGCCCUGGGACUGCUGGCCGAGUCCUGAGGUACAGUCUUGGUCUGGCCUUUUUGCAAGUGAGAAGGAAAAUCCCCACACUGUUUCCUGCUGCUCCUCGGACCUGGGGUCCCACGCAAAGCCAGCUUCCCUGUCAGAGCGCUUUUCUGUCCUCUUCCUCUCCCCUGGGGGCUCAAGCCACUCGAUGCCACCCGCCUGGCUCUGCUCCUUUGGUUCCCUUACCGUCGCCCUCCCUCCCUGUUUCUUUGAUGACCAAGUCCUGUGUCCCUGCCUCCCAAGUGACCGAUCAGAAUAAAUGCUUCUCUUCCUGUCCCCACUGCCCCUUCCGGAGUUCAGGCCUCAUGGCCGGGGCCUGUGCUAUUACCUGAGCCCCCCACCGGCCUGGACGCCUCCUGUCUCUCCUCCUCCAGGGGCUGCUCCACACGUGUCUAACUGCACAUCUGUCCUUGUCAGCCCCAGACUGAAAACCCUGCCAAGUCCUCUCUUGUUUAAGCUCCAACACCUCGGGGCCCAGGUAGGGCCUUCCAGUGGCCCCAGCUCUCCCUCCUGGUCACCCAACAGUCUAGGUCACUGGGCUGUCCCUGCACAGUGAGCGCACUUGCCCUACCCCGACUGGAGGCUUUGGCACGCGCGGUUCCACACCUGGAAGGCUGGCUCCUCUUGUCCUGACAAACGCCUGUCCUCCUUCCGGGCGCAACUGGAAGCUCCCCAUCUCCGCCCGACCCGGGCGCCAGGCACUCUUGUCUGGGAGUUCUGGUAACGCUGCGCCUUGCUGCUGCCUUCCUUCCCUGGGCUUUUCCUCCUGGGUUGUAGCUGCUCUCCAAGAGUCCGUGGCCCGCUCAGCGGCGCUGGGUCCCUUGACGGCGAGGACAGUGUCUUACUCAUUUCCCUAAGCUGGGUGCCCCGACACGGUGGGGUGGGUGCUUAGGAAACUUUGGAUCCGCAGAGGACUGCUUUGUCUUCCAGCAGUCCUGCACCUGCUCUCUCCUUGCAGAAGCCCGAGGAAGCAGGGAUGCUGGCCCUGAGUCAGUGGGCGCCGAUCCUUAGUACAAUCUGAUGUCUGACUUCCCGGUGAGUUUCUUCACCUGCUCCUUCCCAUGUCCUCCACGAAUGAAGUCCUGGAAGAGCGGGCCUCCUCCCCCUCCCUCUCUGGUCACAGGAUGCCUCCUCCUGCCCCUCGGAGGCUGGUUUCCUCCUGUCUUCGUAGGCCAGCUUUGGACUCAGUAUUGGCCUAGAGGCUCCAAACUGUACGUGACCCCAAAGGCCCUGUCCCUGGCUUCCGCUGUGUCCCCUGGCAGCUCCAAGCUCCGGUUGGCCAAGGCCCUCUUCACACGGCCCGGAUCGUGUGGUCCAGCCUGAGAUCUGUACGUAUUUCUGAUUUUUGUCUUCAUGACACUCCGAGUCCUCAGGGAGAAGCUGCACCACAGGGGACCUGCCGAUGUGGGCGGAGACGUUGCCACUGCUGGUCCUGUGGUGCCUGCACACGGACCCUGGCACACAGAGUGGGAGCCAGGGGCGUGUCUGGGCACUUCUGGCGCUGCCCCGCCUGCACUCAUGUUACAGAUCAUUCUGCCACCUCCCACGGAGGCGGGAGAUGCUCUUUCUGUGUCUCCAUCACUCCUAAGCUCUCCUGACUUCGUGCUCCUUACCGUCCUCGGUCUCUGAGCACAGAAGCACCGACCCGGGUGCCAGGCCCUCCACAGCUGGACGAGGGGCUUCCUGACACCAUGCUGCGGCCGAGCAAACGGGCCCAGCUUACUUGUUUGCUAGAUUCAGUUGGGGCGGGGGUCUGGAGCACGAGUUGCCGUCCCCUAACCGUGGUUGCAGGGCUUGCACGAGCAGACUGAUGUGCUCUGGGCAGAGGACCCGUUCAGCCACCUCUUGAGUGUAUCUGUGUACUCACCGUGGGGACUUUGCAAAGUGCAGAAAGGAUGUGAAGAGUCAGGACCAAAGACGCUCAUAAGGCAUCGCCGGAGGCAGAAACGUUCACAGUUGGGGCAUAUUUCCCCGUUCUUUUUCUCUGCAUUUUCCCUUUACUCACUUGAGUUCGUGCAGUGUUAACGUUCUCUCUUACGUUUUUUCACUUGGCAUCAACUGUUAUCCCAAGUUCUGAAAGGUUCCUCAGAAGACAUCUGACUAACCCCACACUUCAUCCUGGAGGAUGUUGGAUUCCAGGCUCUCUUGCUCAAGACCACGUGACACAUCCUGGGGAAUGGCCCAGCGUCCCUCAGACAAGUGACACCCGCUGCUCAGAACCUCCAGCACGGGCCCUGGGGUGGCUGCAGAGACAGAGUUGAUUGAGUCUCCCAUACCUGUGUUGAGUUGGGCCCUGUGUCCGACGGCCUCGAACUAUCUGGUUGUCCCAUUUCCCAGUGUUGGGUCGCCCGGUGCAGAGCCCGAGGUCCCUUUGGGAAGGGCUGGGGGAUCAUUCCUGUGUCUCCUGCCACAGUACUGUAAUGUCCUUCCCCCGUGGACCCGGCCACCUCCCUAGUCGGUUCCAGGUCUGAAAACUGGCUCAGGGGCAGAGCCUGGGCAAGGGAUCACAAUUCAUUUAUUGGGGUGACUGCC